RNAcentral lists this ribosomal RNA (2902 nucleotides) under Klebsiella pneumoniae. RNAcentral describes it as "23S ribosomal RNA". It matches the Rfam family "Bacterial large subunit ribosomal RNA". The record is from RNAcentral. Lineage: Bacteria; Pseudomonadati; Pseudomonadota; Gammaproteobacteria; Enterobacterales; Enterobacteriaceae.
GGUUAAGCGACUAAGCGUACACGGUGGAUGCCCUGGCAGUCAGAGGCGAUGAAGGACGUGCUAAUCUGCGAAAAGCGUCGGUAAGGUGAUAUGAACCGUUAUAACCGGCGAUGUCCGAAUGGGGAAACCCAGUGUGAUUCGUCACACUAUCGUUAACUGAAUACAUAGGUUAACGAGGCGAACCGGGGGAACUGAAACAUCUAAGUACCCCGAGGAAAAGAAAUCAACCGAGAUUCCCCCAGUAGCGGCGAGCGAACGGGGAGCAGCCCAGAGUCUGAAUCAGCUUGUGUGUUAGUGGAACGGUCUGGAAAGUCCGACGGUACAGGGUGAUAGUCCCGUACACCAAAAUGCACAGGUUGUGAACUCGAAGAGUAGGGCGGGACACGUGGUAUCCUGUCUGAAUAUGGGGGGACCAUCCUCCAAGGCUAAAUACUCCUGACUGACCGAUAGUGAACCAGUACCGUGAGGGAAAGGCGAAAAGAACCCCGGCGAGGGGAGUGAAAAAGAACCUGAAACCGUGUACGUACAAGCAGUGGGAGCACCUUCGGGUGUGACUGCGUACCUUUUGUAUAAUGGGUCAGCGACUUAUAUUCUGUAGCAAGGUUAACCGUAUAGGGGAGCCGCAGGGAAACCGAGUCUUAACUGGGCGUUAAGUUGCAGGGUAUAGACCCGAAACCCGGUGAUCUAGCCAUGGGCAGGUUGAAGGUUGGGUAACACUAACUGGAGGACCGAACCGACUAAUGUUGAAAAAUUAGCGGAUGACUUGUGGCUGGGGGUGAAAGGCCAAUCAAACCGGGAGAUAGCUGGUUCUCCCCGAAAGCUAUUUAGGUAGCGCCUCGUGAACUCAUCUUCGGGGGUAGAGCACUGUUUCGGCUAGGGGGUCAUCCCGACUUACCAACCCGAUGCAAACUACGAAUACCGAAGAAUGUUAUCACGGGAGACACACGGCGGGUGCUAACGUCCGUCGUGAAGAGGGAAACAACCCAGACCGCCAGCUAAGGUCCCAAAGUCAUGGUUAAGUGGGAAACGAUGUGGGAAGGCACAGACAGCCAGGAUGUUGGCUUAGAAGCAGCCAUCAUUUAAAGAAAGCGUAAUAGCUCACUGGUCGAGUCGGCCUGCGCGGAAGAUGUAACGGGGCUAAACCAUGCACCGAAGCUGCGGCAGCGACACUAUGUGUUGUUGGGUAGGGGAGCGUUCUGUAAGCCUGCGAAGGUGACCUGUGAGGGUUGCUGGAGGUAUCAGAAGUGCGAAUGCUGACAUAAGUAACGAUAAAGCGGGUGAAAAGCCCGCUCGCCGGAAGACCAAGGGUUCCUGUCCAACGUUAAUCGGGGCAGGGUGAGUCGACCCCUAAGGCGAGGCCGAAAGGCGUAGUCGAUGGGAAACAGGUUAAUAUUCCUGUACUUGGUGUUACUGCGAAGGGGGGACGGAGAAGGCUAUGUUAGCCGGGCGACGGUUGUCCCGGUUUAAGCAUGUAGGCUGAUUAUCCAGGCAAAUCCGGAUAAUCAAGGCUGAGGUGUGAUGACGAGGCACUACGGUGCUGAAGUAACAAAUGCCCUGCUUCCAGGAAAAGCCUCUAAGCAUCAGGUAACAUUAAAUCGUACCCCAAACCGACACAGGUGGUCAGGUAGAGAAUACCAAGGCGCUUGAGAGAACUCGGGUGAAGGAACUAGGCAAAAUGGUGCCGUAACUUCGGGAGAAGGCACGCUGGUGUGUAGGUGAAGUCCCUGCGGAUGGAGCUGAGACCAGUCGAAGAUACCAGCUGGCUGCAACUGUUUAUUAAAAACACAGCACUGUGCAAACACGAAAGUGGACGUAUACGGUGUGACGCCUGCCCGGUGCCGGAAGGUUAAUUGAUGGGGUUAUCCGUAAGGAGAAGCUCUUGAUCGAAGCCCCGGUAAACGGCGGCCGUAACUAUAACGGUCCUAAGGUAGCGAAAUUCCUUGUCGGGUAAGUUCCGACCUGCACGAAUGGCGUAAUGAUGGCCAGGCUGUCUCCACCCGAGACUCAGUGAAAUUGAACUCGCUGUGAAGAUGCAGUGUACCCGCGGCAAGACGGAAAGACCCCGUGAACCUUUACUAUAGCUUGACACUGAACAUUGAGCCUUGAUGUGUAGGAUAGGUGGGAGGCUUUGAAGCGUGGACGCCAGUCUGCGUGGAGCCAACCUUGAAAUACCACCCUUUAAUGUUUGAUGUUCUAACGUUGGCCCCUGACCGGGGUUGCGGACAGUGUCUGGUGGGUAGUUUGACUGGGGCGGUCUCCUCCCAAAGCGUAACGGAGGAGCACGAAGGUUAGCUAAUCCUGGUCGGACAUCAGGAGGUUAGUGCAAUGGCAUAAGCUAGCUUGACUGCGAGCGUGACGGCGCGAGCAGGUGCGAAAGCAGGUCAUAGUGAUCCGGUGGUUCUGAAUGGAAGGGCCAUCGCUCAACGGAUAAAAGGUACUCCGGGGAUAACAGGCUGAUACCGCCCAAGAGUUCAUAUCGACGGCGGUGUUUGGCACCUCGAUGUCGGCUCAUCACAUCCUGGGGCUGAAGUAGGUCCCAAGGGUAUGGCUGUUCGCCAUUUAAAGUGGUACGCGAGCUGGGUUUAGAACGUCGUGAGACAGUUCGGUCCCUAUCUGCCGUGGACGCUGGAGAAUUGAGGGGGGCUGCUCCUAGUACGAGAGGACCGGAGUGGACGCAUCACUGGUGUUCGGGUUGUCAUGCCAAUGGCACUGCCCGGUAGCUAAAUGCGGAAGAGAUAAGUGCUGAAAGCAUCUAAGCACGAAACUUGCCCCGAGAUGAGUUCUCCCUGAGACUUUAAGUCUCCUGAAGGAACGUUAAAGACGAUGACGUUGAUAGGCCGGGUGUGUAAGCGCAGCGAUGCGUUGAGCUAACCGGUACUAAUGAACCGUGAGGCUUAACCUU